RNAcentral lists this ribosomal RNA (497 nucleotides) under uncultured bacterium. RNAcentral's name for it is "partial 16S ribosomal RNA". It matches the Rfam family "Bacterial small subunit ribosomal RNA", at positions 28 to 507 of the family's 1533-position model. The record is from RNAcentral.
GAUGAACGCUGGCGGCGUGCCUAAUACAUGCAAGUCGAGCGAACGGACGAGAAGCUUGCUUCUCUGAUGUUAGCGGCGGACGGGUGAGUAACACGUGGAUAACCUACCUAUAAGACUGGGAUAACUUCGGGAAACCGGAGCUAAUACCGGAUAAUAUUUUGAACCGCAUGGUUCAAAAGUGAAAGACGGUCUUGCUGUCACUUAUAGCUGGAUCCGCGCUGCAUUAGCUAGUUGGUAAGGUAACGGCUUACCAAGGCAACGAUGCAUAGCCGACCUGAGAGGGUGAUCGGCCACACUGGAACGGAGACACGGUCCAGACUCCUACGGGAGGCAGCAGUAGGGAAUCUUCCGCAAUGGGCGAAAGCCUGACGGAGCAACGCCGCGUGAGUUAUGAAGGUCUUCGGAUCGUAAAACUCUGUUAUUAGGGAAGAACAUAUUUGUAAGUAACUGUGCACAUCUUGACGGUACCUAAUCAGAAAGCCACGGCUAACUACGUG